AUCGCUUCUCAGCCUUUUGACUAAGAUCGAGUGUGUAUCUGUUCUUAUCAGCUCAAUAUCUGAUACGUUCUCUAUCUGAGGACAAUACGUUAAACGGAUUUGGGGGAUUAGGAGAUGGAAUUGGAGUUUGCUCCAUCCACUCCACACGUCAGCCUGGUACUGCAGUGCCUCCAGGAACGGUGCACUGAAA
Molossus molossus (Pallas's mastiff bat) is the source of this 190-nucleotide small nuclear RNA. RefSeq annotates it as U2 spliceosomal RNA. The transcript has a single exon. The record is from RefSeq and is a predicted model, not a curated record. NCBI's taxonomy places the organism in Eukaryota, Metazoa, Chordata, Mammalia, Chiroptera, Molossidae.